RNAcentral lists this ribosomal RNA (1379 nucleotides) under Bacillus subtilis. RNAcentral's name for it is "16S ribosomal RNA". It matches the Rfam family "Bacterial small subunit ribosomal RNA", at positions 155 to 1507 of the family's 1533-position model. The record is from RNAcentral. Lineage: Bacteria; Bacillati; Bacillota; Bacilli; Caryophanales; Bacillaceae.
AACCGGGGCUAAUACCGGAUGGUUGUUUGAACCGCAUGGUUCAGACAUAAAAGGUGGCUUCGGCUACCACUUACAGAUGGACCCGCGGCGCAUUAGCUAGUGUGNGUNGAGGUAACGGCUCACCAAGGCGACGAUGCGUANGCCGACCUGAGAGGGUGAUCGGCCAACACUGGGAACUGAGACACUGGCCCAGACUCCUACCGGGAGGCAGCAGUAGGGAAUCUUCCGCAAUGGACGAAAGUCUGACGGAGCAACGCCGCGUGGAGUGAUGAAGGUUUUCGGAUCGUAAAGCUCUGUUGUUAGGGAAGAACAAGUGCCGUUCAAAUAGGGCGGCACCUUGACGGUACCUAACCAGAAAGCCACGGCUAACUACGUGCCAGCAGCCGCGGUAAUACGUAGGUGGCAUANCGCGUUGUCCGGAAUUAUUGGGCGUAAAGGGCUCGCAGGCGGUUUCUUAAGUCUGAUGUGAAAGCCCCCGGCUCAACCGGGGAGGGUCAUUGGAAACUGGGGAACUUGAGUGCAGAAGAGGAGAGUGGAAUUCCACGUGUAGCGGUGAAAUGCGUAGAGAUGUGGAGGAACACCAGUGGCGAAGGCGACUCUCUGGUCUGUAACUGACGCUGAGGAGCGAAAGCGUGGGGAGCGAACAGGAUUAGAUACCCUGGUAGUCCACGCCGUAAACGAUGAGUGCUAAGUGUUAGGGGGUUUCCGCCCCUUAGUGCUGCAGCUAACGCAUUAAGCACUCCGCCUGGGGAGUACGGUCGCAAGACUGAAACUCAAAGGAAUUGACGGGGGCCCGCACAAGCGGUGGAGCAUGUGGUUUAAUUCGAAGCAACGCGAAGAACCUUACCAGGUCUUGACAUCCUCUGACAAUCCUAGAGAUAGGACGUCCCCUUCGGGGGCAGAGUGACAGGUGGUGCAUGGUUGUCGUCAGCUCGUGUCGUGAGAUGUUGGGUUAAGUCCCGCAACGAGCGCAACCCUUGAUCUUAGUUGCCAGCAUUCAGUUGGGCACUCUAAGGUGACUGCCGGUGACAAACCGGAGGAAGGUGGGGAUGACGUCAAAUCAUCAUGCCCCUUAUGACCUGGGCUACACACGUGCUACAAUGGACAGAACAAAGGGCAGCGAAACCGCGAGGUUAAGCCAAUCCCACAAAUCUGUUCUCAGUUCGGAUCGCAGUCUGCAACUCGACUGCGUGAAGCUGGAAUCGCUAGUAAUCGCGGAUCAGCAUGCCGCGGUGAAUACGUUCCCGGGCCUUGUACACACCGCCCGUCACACCACGAGAGUUUGUAACACCCGAAGUCGGUGAGGUAACCUUUUAGGAGCCAGCCGCCGAAGGUGGGACAGAUGAUUGGGGUGAAGUCGUAACAACGUAGCCGUAUCG